This 460-nucleotide ribosomal RNA is filed under the name uncultured bacterium. RNAcentral's name for it is "partial 16S ribosomal RNA". It matches the Rfam family "Bacterial small subunit ribosomal RNA", at positions 338 to 795 of the family's 1533-position model. The record is from RNAcentral.
CCUACGGGAGGCAGCAGUGAGGAAUAUUGGUCAAUGGGCGGGAGCCUGAACCAGCCAAGUCGCGUGAGAGAAGACGGUCCUAUGGAUUGUAAACCUCUUUAGGCGGGGAGCAAUGCCGGGCACGCGUGCCCGGAGGGAGAGUACCCGCAGAAUCAGCAUCGGCUAACUCCGUGCCAGCAGCCGCGGUAAUACGGAGGAUGCGAGCGUUAUCCGGCUUUAUUGGGUUUAAAGGGUGCGUGGGCGGAUUUUUAAGUCAGCGGUAAAAUGUCCGGGUUAACCCCGGAACGGCCGUUGAGACUGGGGGUCUUGAGUGGGCGGGAGGUAAGCGGAAUGCGUGGUGUAGGGGUGAAAUGCAUAGAUAUCAAGCAGAACCCCGAUUGCGAAGGCAGCAUACCGGCGCCCGACUGACGCUGAGGCACGAAAGCGUGGGGAUCGAACAGGAUUAGAUACCCGUGUAGUC